Long non-coding RNA from Mytilus californianus (California mussel), 697 nucleotides. RefSeq lists it as uncharacterized. Lineage: Eukaryota; Metazoa; Mollusca; Bivalvia; Mytilida; Mytilidae. The record is from RefSeq and is a predicted model, not a curated record. The transcript has 2 exons.
CCGAAGACACAUUGGUUUUCGCUCUCUAACUUUAGUUUAAGUGAAUGGAUCUAUGAAAUUUUACCAUAAGGUUCAAUACCACAAAAGGAAGGUUGGGAUUGAUUUUGGGGGUUAUGGUACCAACAGUUAAGGAAAUAUGGACCAAAAUGGGGCCAAAAAUAAGCAUUUUUGUAACUUCCAGACAUAACUUGUGUGUUAGUGUAUGGAUCUCUCUGACAUUGUACCACAAGGUUCCAUAUCACAAAGGGAAUGCUGGGAUUGAUUUUGGGGGUAAUUGCCUCAAAAUUUUAGGAAUUAGGGGCCAAAAAAGGGGCAAAAAACAAGCAUUUUUCUAGUUUCAUGACAAUAACUUGUGUGUAAGUGUAUGGAUCUUUCUGAAAUUGUACUACAAGGUUCCAUAUCACAAAGGGAAAGCUGGGUUUGAGUUUGGGGGUAAUUGCCCUAAACGUUUAGGAAUUUGGGGCCAAAAAGGGGCAAAAAAACAAGCAUUUUUCUGGUUUCCAGACAAUAACUUGUGUUCAAGUGUACGGAUCUCUCUGAAAUUGUACUGCAAGGCACCAUACAUUGUAACACAAAGGGAAGGCUGGGAUUGAGUUUGGGGGUGAUGAAUCAUUAGGGGGUUCAAAAAAUUUAAGGGGGGAUUUUUUUCCCCUUUUUUUCUUUAAAAUUUUCCAUUUUAAAUUGGUUAUUUCUGAUU